This is a non-coding RNA of Terrapene triunguis (Three-toed box turtle), 624 nucleotides long. The record is from the annotation of a RefSeq genome assembly. NCBI's taxonomy places the organism in Eukaryota, Metazoa, Chordata, Testudines, Emydidae.
AUGAUCUCCCAGAGUCACUUUCUCUGGCUGCUGGUUCUCUGGGUUCAUGGUUCAAAUGGGCAGAUCGUGAUGACUCAGACUCCAGAAUCUCUAUCUGCGACCGUGGGAGAAACAGUAACUAUCAAAUGCCAAGCCAGUUCAAGCAUUGGUACCUACGCACACUGGUACCAACAGAAAUCUGGGCAAUCUCCAAAGCUUCUUAUCUACAGCGCUAGCAGCCGCCCAUCUGGGAUCCCAUCCCGGUUCAGCGGCAGCGGGUCUGGCACCGAUUUCACUCUCACCAUCAGUGGAGUUGAAGCCGAUGAUGCUGGAGAUUAUUACUGUCUCCAGGCCGGCCACAGCUUCCCUCGCACAGUGACUCCAGAAUCCCUGUCAGUGUCGCCUGGAGAGAGAGUCACCAUCAACUGCAAAGCCAGUACCAGCAUUAGCAACAACUUAGGCUGGUACCAACAGAAACCAGGACAAGCGCCUAAGCUCCUUAUCUAUGAUUCUACCUAUCGUGUCUCUGGGAUCCCAGCCCGGUUCAGCGGCAGUGGAUCUGGGACUGAUUUCACUCUCACAAUCAGCAGCGUUGAAGCUGAAGAUGCUGGAGAUUAUUACUGUCAGCAACGCCAGAGCUUCUAG